RNAcentral lists this long non-coding RNA (830 nucleotides) under Elaeis guineensis (African oil palm). Its description in RNAcentral is "long non-coding RNA (EGUI_LNC003636)". The record is from RNAcentral. Lineage: Eukaryota; Viridiplantae; Streptophyta; Magnoliopsida; Arecales; Arecaceae.
CAUCAUUUUCAUUAAUACCAAUUAUAGCAAUUAAUUGUCCCAAAUAUGGUUCCUUGAGGUGAUAAGCAUCUAAGGCUAUUAUAGGCCUGUAACUAUCCAAAAAACCUUGCUUACAUGUAGCAAAACAGACAUAAAUUCUUUUAAAGAUUGGUUCAACAAGAGAAUAUAGUGUAUUAACAAGCAUCUUCACUAUGUUACCAUCAUUUGUCCUCCUAAUCUUCUCAGCAUAAUUUCAUAGUUUGCCGAAUUACUCUACAAUUGAACCCUGUAUCAUCUCCAUAGCCUUCCUCUUUGCCUAGUAUGCUUGGGAUCUUGAUAUUUAUGCAGUCAGAUCGUGCCUAAUCUGUACAAUUAUCUCAUAUGACUUUUAAGAAGGCUACCUCUUGAAUUGGUACUUGUUAGAUAAAUAACUUGAUUUCAUAUUCUUAUUCCAACUCUCUCUACAAUAACUGUGCUUGCCAUAAUAAGAGUUGAUAUGUAUAAUUGAUCUAUCCUGCAUCGAUCAAAGAAGGAUGCGACUUCCACCUAUAAUUACCUUGGCAUAUUUCUCUCACUCUCACUUUGUCAUUUUUCACCAACUUCAUAUUUUGCUCCCCAUUUAUUGCAUGUUCUCUUAUUACCACUUUUAGUAGGACGAAGCUCUUGAAUUUUAUGUCCAACUUAAAUUGAGCAGUCAAAUUAUUUUUGUCCUCUCUAAAACAUCGAGGGUAUCAUCUUGCUCUUCAUCUGAACCUACAUGUGAAUGCAACUCCUCAGACUAUGCAUAAUUUAAGAAAAUAUCCUGCUAGCUUUUACCCUCUUUAGUCCUAGGUUUAACCUUUUCAGCCCUC